UAAUAAUACCUAAACAAUCGCCCCCUAAAUAUUUAGUUGUUCCAUUGAUUGGGCAAGAGCACACUAGAUCAAGCCCCAAGUGUGAAUCAGGCAUCACCAGUGUAGAGCUAACUGAUGACGGUAGCGGAUCAUGUUCUUCUGUGAGUAGAAUUCACCUUCUGCAGUAAAACCAGUAACACCUGAUGUUGUAAAUUGGCAUGCCCUGAAUCCUGCUGCUCCUACCAUCAACGAAGGAUUAUGCAUGGUCUUGGUAUAGUGAUUUCUCGACUCAUUUGAAUGGUUAGCAAUCAAGACUUGUGAGCUUGACAUGCCAAACAUUGCCUAAUUCCUCCAAAUCCUUCGCACUUGUCCAAAAUAAAGAGAGAGAAAGAAUGGCUAGUGUAUUUAAACAUUGGGAUUAUUACAGGUUACAU
Molecule: long non-coding RNA, 413 nt
Filed under: Oryza brachyantha (malo sina)
Lineage: Eukaryota; Viridiplantae; Streptophyta; Magnoliopsida; Poales; Poaceae
Description: long non-coding RNA (OBRA_LNC002862)
Source: RNAcentral